Molecule: ribosomal RNA, 512 nt
Filed under: uncultured Burkholderia sp.
Lineage: Bacteria; Pseudomonadati; Pseudomonadota; Betaproteobacteria; Burkholderiales; Burkholderiaceae
Description: bacterial SSU rRNA
Rfam family: Bacterial small subunit ribosomal RNA
Source: RNAcentral
UCCUGGCUCAGAUUGAACGCUGGCGGCAUGCUUUACACAUGCAAGUCGAACGGCAGCGGGGGCUUCGGCCUGCCGGCGAGUGGCGAACGGGUGAGUAAUGCAUCGGAACGUGCCCAUGUCGUGGGGGAUAACGUAUCGAAAGGUACGCUAAUACCGCAUACGUCCUGAGGGAGAAAGCGGGGGAUCGCAAGACCUCGCGCGAUUGGAGCGGCCGAUGUCGGAUUAGCUAGUAGGUGAGGUAAAGGCUCACCUAGGCGACGAUCCGUAGCGGGUCUGAGAGGAUGAUCCGCCACACUGGGACUGAGACACGGCCCAGACUCCUACGGGAGGCAGCAGUGGGGAAUUUUGGACAAUGGGGGCAACCCUGAUCCAGCCAUGCCGCGUGAGUGAAGAAGGCCUUCGGGUUGUAAAGCUCUUUCGGCCGGGAAGAAAUCGUGUUCUCUAACAUAGGACAUGGAUGACGGUACCGGACUAAGAAGCACCGGCUAACUACGUGCCAGCAGCCGCGGUAA